RNAcentral lists this ribosomal RNA (377 nucleotides) under uncultured eukaryote. RNAcentral's name for it is "partial 18S ribosomal RNA". It matches the Rfam family "Eukaryotic small subunit ribosomal RNA", at positions 592 to 976 of the family's 1831-position model. The record is from RNAcentral.
CAAUAGCGUAUAUUAAAGUUGUUGCAGUUAAAAAGCUCGUAGUUGGAUUUCGGGGCAGCCUGGCUGGUCCGCCGCAAGGCGAGUACUGGUCAGCCGCCCUUCCUCUCGAAAGCCCCGACCGCUCUUUAUUGCAGUGGUCGGGUAGUUCGGGACGUUUACUUUGAAAAAAUUAGAGUGUUCAAGGCAGGCCUACGCCUGAAUACAUUAGCAUGGAAUAAUGGAAGAGGACCUCGGUCCUAUUUUGUUGGUUUCCAGGACCGAAGUAAUGAUUAAGAGGGACAGUUGGGGGCAUUCGUAUUUAAUUGUCAGAGGUGAAAUUCUCGGAUUUAUGAAAGACGAACAACUGCGAAAGCAUUUGCCAAGGAUGUUUUCAUUAA